This 407-nucleotide long non-coding RNA is filed under the name Mytilus galloprovincialis (Mediterranean mussel). The record is from RNAcentral. Lineage: Eukaryota; Metazoa; Mollusca; Bivalvia; Mytilida; Mytilidae.
UUAAGCUAAAUCGAUAAAUAAAACUGAUUCUAAAAGCUAUUAUAAUAGGCUAUAAGAUAAAAUUAAAAAAACAUAUUUAUUUAAAUAUGCUUUUUUACCGAAAUGUUGACCGGAAGUCUUUCUUAGUGUGACUCUGGCAACACAUUUUUGAACAUUAAAACUUAAAUUCACGAAAAAGCAUAUAACCCGGUCAAAGUCUGUAAAUUGAUUCUUGAAGACAUUUAAAUGACACAUAAUAUGAUAUAAACAAAAAAAUAAAUAUAUUACUAUAAAAGGGCAAAAGUUGACCGGAAGUCACCCUUGUACAUAAAUAUAGAAGUGAAAUUUUCAACUUUGAAUUAAAAUUCACAUAAAUAUAAAAAGCCCGGUCAAAUUCUGUAAAUUGAUUCUUAAAGACAUUUAAAUGA